CCUACGGGAGGCAGCAGUGAGGAAUAUUGGUCAAUGGGAGAGAUCCUGAACCAGCCAAGCCGCGUGAGGGAAGACGGCCCUAUGGGUUGUAAACCUCUUUUGUCGGAGAACAAAACCCGGGACGUGUCCCGGCCUGCGUGUGUCCGAAGAAAAAGCAUCGGCUAACGCCGUGCCAGCAGCCGCGGUAAUACGGAGGAUGCGAGCGUUAUCCGGAUUUGUUGGGUUUAAAGGGUGCGUAGGCGGGCCGUUAAGUCAGCGGUAAAAUUGCGGGGCUCAACCCCGGCGAGCCGUUGAAACUGGCAGACUUGAGUGGGCGAGAAGUACGCGGAAUGCGCGGUGUAGCGGUGAAAUGCAUAGAUAUCGCGCAGAACUCCGAUUGCGAAGGCAGCGUACCGGAGCCAGACUGACGCUGAGGCACGAAAGCGUGGGGAUCGAACAGGAUUAGAUACCCCAGUAGUC
This 459-nucleotide ribosomal RNA is filed under the name uncultured bacterium. RNAcentral's name for it is "partial 16S ribosomal RNA". It matches the Rfam family "Bacterial small subunit ribosomal RNA", at positions 338 to 795 of the family's 1533-position model. The record is from RNAcentral.